UGGCGGCAGGCUUAACACAUGCAAGUCGAGCGGUAGCAGAUCUAGCUUGCUAGAUGCUGGCGAGCGGCGGACGGGUGAGUAACGCGUAGGAACCUGCCCAGUAGUGGGGGAUAGCCCGGGGGAAACUCGGAUUAAUACCGCAUACGCUCUACGGAGGAAAAGAGGGGGGCUUCGGGCUCUCGCUAUUGGAUGGGCCUGCGUGAGAUUAGCUAGUUGGUGAGGUAAUGGCUCACCAAGGCGACGAUCUCUAGCUGGUCUGAGAGGAUGAUCAGCCACACUGGGACUGAGACACGGCCCAGACUCCUACGGGAGGCAGCAGUGGGGAAUAUUGCACAAUGGGCGCAAGCCUGAUGCAGCCAUGCCGCGUGUGUGAAGAAGGCUUUCGGGUUGUAAAGCACUUUCAGUGGGGAGGAAGGCCUCGUAGUUAAUAGCUGCGAGGAUUGACGUUACCCACAGAAGAAGCACCGGCUAACUCCGUG
Molecule: ribosomal RNA, 479 nt
Filed under: uncultured bacterium
Lineage: Bacteria
Description: bacterial SSU rRNA
Rfam family: Bacterial small subunit ribosomal RNA
Source: RNAcentral